AAUUACAGUAUGAUUGCCCAAUGGCAGUAAGCACCUAUUUAAGAUUUAUGAUCAUUAAGCAGGGUUGGGCCUGGUUAGUACUUGGAUGGGAGACCACCUAGGAAGACCAGGUGCUGUAGGCA
Ribosomal RNA from Pteropus vampyrus (large flying fox), 122 nucleotides. The record is from Ensembl. Lineage: Eukaryota; Metazoa; Chordata; Mammalia; Chiroptera; Pteropodidae.